CAGCGCCGCGGUAAUACGUAGGGUGCAAGCGUUAAUCGGAAUUACUGGGCGUAAAGCGUGCGCAGGCGGUUAUAUAAGUCAGAUGUGAAAUCCCCGGGCUCAACCUGGGAACUGCAUUUGAGACUGUAUGGCUAGAGUGUGUCAGAGGGGGGUAGAAUUCCACGUGUAGCAGUGAAAUGCGUAGAUAUGUGGAGGAAUACCGAUGGCGAAGGCAGCCCCCUGGGAUAACACUGACGCUCAUGCACGAAAGCGUGGGGAGCAAACAGGAUUAGAUACCCCGGUAGUCCCUGUCUCUUAUACA
This 301-nucleotide ribosomal RNA is filed under the name uncultured bacterium. RNAcentral describes it as "partial 16S ribosomal RNA". It matches the Rfam family "Bacterial small subunit ribosomal RNA", at positions 509 to 808 of the family's 1533-position model. The record is from RNAcentral.